GUCCAAGCUGUGUUCACACSGCGAGACCGCGGACGGCUCAUUAAAUCAGUCGUGGUCCAAAUGGGCCAGUGCAAAUCCUACUUGGAUAACUGUGGUAAUUCCAGAGCUAAUACAUGCAACUGAUAUCCCGAAGGCGAUGGUUGUGCUUGCUUGUCUUGCGCUCUCACUGCUCUGACGGAUGCUUUUAUUAGACCAAACUGCUGAGGACUUGAGGGUUCGCCUUCUUGUCUGACUCGUGUAAUGGUGACUCUGGAUAACCAAUCUGACAAGCGCACGUACUUCUCUUCUGAGCGAGACGGCGCUGCCACUUUCGAGUGUCUGCCUUAUCAGCUAUCAACCGUUCGUUAUGCGCGACCGAUGGCUUUGACGGGUAACGGGGAAUCAGGGUUCGAUUCCGGAGAGGCAGCCUGAGAGACGGCUACCACGUCCAAGGACGGCAGCAGGCACGCAAAUUACCCAAUCCCAGCAAAUGGGGGAGGUAGUGACGAAAUCUAACGAUGCGGGCGCCCUUUCUGGGGCCCCGCAAUCGGAAUGGGCACUUUCUAAACAACCUGUUGAGAACCUACUGAAGGGCAAGUCUGGUGCCAGCAGCCGCGGUAAUUCCAGCUUCAGCAGCAUCUAUUAAAGUUGCUGCGG
Molecule: ribosomal RNA, 636 nt
Filed under: Macrohectopus branickii
Lineage: Eukaryota; Metazoa; Arthropoda; Malacostraca; Amphipoda; Macrohectopidae
Description: bacterial SSU rRNA
Rfam family: Eukaryotic small subunit ribosomal RNA
Source: RNAcentral